RNAcentral lists this ribosomal RNA (765 nucleotides) under uncultured Bacillota bacterium. RNAcentral's name for it is "bacterial SSU rRNA". It matches the Rfam family "Bacterial small subunit ribosomal RNA", at positions 66 to 845 of the family's 1533-position model. Lineage: Bacteria; Bacillati; Bacillota. The record is from RNAcentral.
ACGAUUAAAGCUCUCUUCGGAGAGUGUAUAGAGUGGCGCACGGGUGAGUAACACGUAAGUAAUCUACCCUCGAGUGGGGAAUAACGUUCGGAAACGGACGCUAAUACCGCAUAAUGCAGCGGCACCGCAAGGUGACAGUUGUUAAAGGAGUAAUUCGCUUGAGGAGGAGCUUGCGGCAGAUUAGCUAGUUGGUAAGGUAACGGCUUACCAAGGCUACGAUCUGUAUCCGGUCUAAGAGGACGGUCGUACACACUGACACUGAAUAACGGGUCAGACUCCUACGGGAGGCAGCAGUCGGGAAUUUUGGGCAAUGGGCGAAAGCCUGACCCAGCAACGCCGCGUGAAGGAUGAAGUAUUUCGGUAUGUAAACUUCGAAAGAAUGGGAAGAAUAAAUGACGGUACCAUUUAUAAGCUCCGGCUAACUACGUGCCAGCAGCCGCGGUAAUACGUAGGGAGCAAGCGUUGUUCGGAUUUACUGGGCGUAAAGGGCGCGUAGGCGGCGCGGUAAGUCACUUGUGAAAUCUCUGAGCUUAACUCAGAACGGCCAAGUGAUACUGCAGUGCUAGAGUGCAGAAGGGGCAAUCGGAAUUCUUGGUGUAGCGGUGAGUGCGUAGAUUUCAGGAGGAACACCUGAGGUGAAGACGGGUUGCUGGGCUGACACUGACGCUGAGGCGCGAAAGCCAGGGGAGCAAACGGGAUUAGAUACCCCGGUAGUCCUGGCCCUAAACGAUGAAUACUUGGUGUCUGGAGUUCAAGACUUCGGUG